This 77-nucleotide transfer RNA is filed under the name Omnitrophica WOR_2 bacterium GWA2_47_8. Its description in RNAcentral is "tRNA-Ala". It matches the Rfam family "tRNA". From Rfam's summary of the family: Transfer RNA (tRNA) molecules are approximately 80 nucleotides in length. Lineage: Bacteria; Pseudomonadati; Candidatus Omnitrophota. The record is from RNAcentral.
GGGCCGAUAGCUCAGUUUGGGAGAGCGCCUGGUUCGCAAUCAGGAGGCCGGCGGUUCGAUCCCGCCUCGGUCCACCA